RNAcentral lists this ribosomal RNA (497 nucleotides) under uncultured bacterium. Its description in RNAcentral is "partial 16S ribosomal RNA". It matches the Rfam family "Bacterial small subunit ribosomal RNA", at positions 28 to 507 of the family's 1533-position model. The record is from RNAcentral.
GAUGAACGCUGGCGGCGUGCCUAACACAUGCAAGUCGAGCGAACGGACGAGAAGCUUGCGUCUCGCAUGUGAGCGGGGGACGGGUGAGUAACACGUGGAUAACCUACCUAUAAGACUGGGAUAACUUCGGGAAACCGGAGCUAACACCGGAUAAUAUUUUGAAGCGCAUAGUUCAACAGUGAAAGACGGCGUUGCUGGCACGAAUAGAUGGUUCCGCGCCGUAUUAGCUAGUUGGUAGGGUAACCGCUUACCAAGGCAACGAUGUGUAGCCGACCUGAGAGGCUGAUCGGCCACACUGGAACUGAGACACGGUCCAGACUCCUACGGGAGGCAGCAGUGGGGAAUCUUCGGCAAUGGGCGAAAGCCUGACCCAGCCACGCCGCGUGCGUGAUGAAGGCCUUCGGAUCGUAAAACUCUUUUAUCAGGGAAGAACAUCUUUGUAUGUAUCCGUGGAGAGCUUGACGGUACCUAAUCAAAAAGCACCGGCUAACUACGUG